RNAcentral lists this ribosomal RNA (242 nucleotides) under uncultured bacterium. RNAcentral's name for it is "partial 16S ribosomal RNA". It matches the Rfam family "Bacterial small subunit ribosomal RNA", at positions 100 to 334 of the family's 1533-position model. The record is from RNAcentral.
CCGGCACGGGUGGAGUAACACGUAUGCAAUCCACCUGUAACAGGGGGAGAACCGGAGAAAUCCGGACUAAUACCCCAUAAUAUGGGCGCUCCGCAUGGAGGAGCCCAUUAAAGAGAGCAAUUUUGGUUACAGACGAGCAUGCGCUCCAUUAGCCAGUUGGCGGGGUAACGGCCCACCAAAGCGACGAUGGAUAGGGGUUCUGAGAGGAAGGUCCCCCACAUUGGAACUGAGACACGGUCCAA